AUACGGAGGGGGUUAGCGUUGUUCGGAAUUACUGGGCGUAAAGCGCACGUAGGCGGACUGGAAAGUUGGGGGUGAAAUCCCGGGGCUCAACCCCGGAACUGCCUCCAAAACUUCCAAUCUAGAGAUCGAGAGAGGUGAGUGGAAUUCCAAGUGUAGAGGUGAAAUUCGUAGAUAUUUGGAGGAACACCAGUGGCGAAGGCGGCUCACUGGCUCGAUACUGACGCUGAGGUACGAAAGCGUGGGGAGCAAACAGGAUUAGAAACCCUUGUAGUCC
RNAcentral lists this ribosomal RNA (274 nucleotides) under uncultured bacterium. Its description in RNAcentral is "partial 16S ribosomal RNA". It matches the Rfam family "Bacterial small subunit ribosomal RNA", at positions 523 to 796 of the family's 1533-position model. The record is from RNAcentral.